This 13639-nucleotide long non-coding RNA is filed under the name Zostera marina. RNAcentral describes it as "long non-coding RNA (ZMAR_LNC001549)". The record is from RNAcentral. Lineage: Eukaryota; Viridiplantae; Streptophyta; Magnoliopsida; Alismatales; Zosteraceae.
UAAAAUAAAAAUAUUUAUAGAAAUAUUUACAUAAAUAUAUGCAAUAAAAUAUAUUCUGAAAUUUUUUUUGGCCACAAAAAUUUUGUAACGGAAAUUCCGUUACAAAUGAUCAGUCUUUAUUUUUUUGUAUUUGUAACGGAUUUGAGUAUUUAUAACGGAAAUUUGAUGACGACCAAAGUUAACGGAAUUUCCGUUACAAAUGACAUUUUUCAUGGAAUUUCCGUUAACUUUGUUCGUCCAAACUGCCUACAUUUUUCUGUAGUGCUCUCAAAAAUUAUCAACCCCCUCUCUUGUUGGACCAGGGAAGGUAUUUAUAGAGAUCCUCCGUCGGCCCAAGCCCGUUGCUCGGGCAAAUAGGCUUGUGGUCUGUUCGGCCCGUGGACCAUUUGAAUGGACCUCAGUACCAACAGUAACCUAAGCGAAAAAUACCAUAUGAGAAACUGAAAUUGAUUUGUGUUGUGUAUUGAAUCGCACAUUAUUAUUUAUACAUAAAAAUAUUAACUAAAUCCUAACCGAUUAACUAUAUUAGUAAAACACACUUGGAUGUUACACGUGUGCAGUGGCGUAUCCAGGAUUCCACAACAGGGGGGCAAAAUUCGUCGAAGGCGAAAAAAAAAAUUUACUAAUUUAAAAACCUAUAAAAAUUUUGGCACGACCUAUUCAUAAAAUCGAUUAUGAAAACCUAUAAAAAUUCAAUACAUUCAUUUCAUAAUUAAUAUUCAAUACAUUAAUUAAUAUUCAAAUUAAAAAUAAAUACAUUCAUUCAAUUAAUAAUAAAAAUUUCAAAUACAAUUUACAUUACUUCAAUGUUCUACGACGAGGACACAUAUCAUUAAAUAUUUGUAAAAUAACUUCGUUGUCUAUAGUUUUAAAAAUAUCUUUCUCGAUAUAUGUUACUAAACAAUCAUUCAUCAAACUAACACCAAAGCGAUUUCUGAGACGAGUUUUAACGAUAUGCAUUGCUGAAAAACUACGCUCAACUGAUGCAGUUGUAACUGGUAAUAUCAACGCUAAUUUGAUCAGGAAAUAAACCAAGGGAUAACCAAUAUCCAUCUUACACUCUACCAAUUCAUGUGCUAGACCACCAAUACCGAUAGACAGAAGCAAAAUGAAGCAACUUCUCUAUAUCGAAAGCCUCAAAAGAAGAAUAUGGAUCAAGACAAUGGAUACACAGUAGUAACUCUGUGUUAGUCUCAACGGAGGGAAAACUGGAGUCUGGAGAAGAGAUUUCCACCAAGUUGUGCAGCAAGGCAGCAACAACAGACGACAGUGAAGAAUCUAAGAAGAAAGUAUUAAGAUUUAAGAAAUUCAGGUUUGGGGGAGAACGGGGGAUAAGGGGGGAGAAGAAUAAAAUAUUUUAAAAUUUAUAUAUUAGGGAUUUGUGAAAUGGGGAGAGAAAAAUAAAAUAUUGUAAAUUUUAUAUAACAACUCUUAAAAAAUAUUAAUAUAUUGUAAAAUUACAUUUAACCCUCUAUAAUUUUUUUUAUUACAUAUAGGUCCUUGACUUUUUUCCAACAUUUAGGGGGGGCACUUGCCCUCCCUUGUAUCAAGAAACAGAAUUUAUUUGCAAGACUGUAUGAUUAUACUAUGAGAUAAGGCAGUAACCAAAUCGCACAAUAACACAAUAGAAACUUAUUUAUUUAUUUACUUGGAACAGGAAUGAAAUAACAGAAAUUUGAACAUAAUAAAAUGACAAGCAUUAGUUCUAAAUCUGUUUGAAACAGAAUUUCUGUAUGGAAUUGAUUUCAAGAUGAAACUAAGAAUCAAUGGAAUUACGAAAAUGAUUUAUUAAUCUAACAGGGAAUUGAUUUUCAAAAGAAACUUUUAAAGAAACAUUGAAUUAAAGAAAUUGAAACAAAUUGUCUAAAGAAAGUUAACUAAACUAAACAAAUUGAAACGGACUUGAAUCCAAUAGAUUUGUAGAAUAGAUUUGCAUACAACGAUAGAAAACACAUUUACAGUUUACAACAGAAAUUAAAAAUGAAUUUUGAAGAGAUUACUUGAUUCUGGAAAUUAAAACAGGAAGAUGACGAAACAAAAAUUUAACACGAUCUGGAAUGAUACCUGAUAAAUGAGAACAGCAAACACAAGAAAUUACCGGAUUGAAACAGAAAAGAAAUCCAAGCACUGAGAACGAUUUGAAAAGAGCAGGAAAUUGUAAACGCACAAAUGGAAAAAUAAUUUUCCGAUGCUCUCCAAACUGCCUGUCCCGUUUCUUAUAUACCUUGUAAUCUGUUAUCUUUGUUUUAAUUUAAUUGGACCCCUUGUUUUCAGGUAUCGGAUCCGGGUCAUGCAUUCCUAAUUUCAAAUAUUCUGAAUUAGGUGGUUGGACCAUGACUGCCUGCUCCUUGAUAUUUUACACCUUGCCCCCCUGGAUACGCCCGUCCAAUAGUCUCGACAUCAAAUUUGAGUGCAUUGCAUGGGGAGCCGACGAGGCCGGAUAUCUCUUAGUGGUGAAUAAAUUUUGUCAAUUCUUACAGUAACCAACGACUACGAAUUGGGCAGCAGUCAAACAUGUAUUACGAUUCUUACAUGGUAUCCAACACUUUGGUUUGCUUUUUAGUCCCACGACAAGGUUUAAUUUAAAGGUAUAUACAUACGUUGAAUAGAAUGGUUGUACGGAUGAUCCGAAAAGCACCUGUAGCUAUGCGAUGUUCUUUGGAAACAAUCUCAUUUCAUGGUCAACAAAAACAACCCACCCACCGUUGCUAGAUCAUCGACGGAGGUGGAAUUUCGGAUUGUAGCAGAUUCUGCAGAAGAAAUAAUUUGGGUACAAAAUCUUCUACAUGAGAUAGGUUUUGCAUGCAUGACAAACCCAAAGAUAUAUGGAUAGAUUAUUUGGGAGCUAAGUACUUAGGUCAAAAUAUGGUUUUUCAUUCAAGGAUGAAGCAUAUGGCCAUUAAUUUCAAUUUGUUAAAGAGCAAAUUAAAAAGGGAUAUCUAACCAAUAACCAUUCAUCUAAUAGACAGGGUUCUAGAGGAAGGAAACAUUAUUAAUGAUGUCCGCGUACAACUGGAGCUGGACAUGGAGGAGAGCACGGAAGAGCCGGGCGAAACUGAAGCUGAGGGCGGCAAGAUGGAGAGCGCACGACCAGUCAGGAAGAAGGUGUUAUUGUCGCACCUAAAGGGAUAUGAACUUAAUUGAAAUUCCUUUGAGUGUUAGUUAGGUUUGAUUAGCAUAUGAUGCAGGACCAUUUUAUUUAAUGUAUUCCCAAAAACGUGUAGCCUUAUAAAAGGCAAACCAUUAUGUUUUAGUAAUUAAUUAAUCAUUUAAGUAAAACUUAAAAACGGAACUGGGUUGAAGCAACCUUAGUCCAGAAUACUGUUCCAUUGCAGCCGUCCACCCUGUUUUUCCUCAUCGUUCCUCAAGUAUUGUCCAUCAUCAUCACAUUUCAACAAGGGAACAAUUAACAGAUAGAUUCACGAAGCCUUUGAUUCCUAGAAAUCCGAGAUAAACUAGGUAUGUAUUUAAGGAAUUAGCAAGAUAAUCAGUGCAAUUAAAUAUCUGUAUAUUUGACAUACUGAACUCAGGACUAAAAUGAGAUUUUUAAUAAAUUCAGGACUAAGAAAUAAUUGUUUUUAAGAUAUCUUAUGCAUGCAAGGCAAUGAACUCACCAAAUAAAUAUCAAGGGAGUCGAAGGGGUUGGGUGUAAUAUUUUAAAUAAAAUGAAUGGGCCAAUGUUGGAUGGGCUGAAAUAUAAUGGGCCACAUUUAUUUUAUUUCAAUUGAAAACUAAAAGUGCAAUUAACUUUUGAAUUAAUUGAAAUUAAUCUUUUGCUAAUCAUCUCGCAUUACCUAACUCUUUAAGCAACGUGUUGAUACCAGGGCCCAUCCAGACGGACCCCGGACCGAACAGGCCUGCCAGGCCCAGUAGGCCCAAUGAGGUAGGCUAUAAAUACCUCCCCAAGUGCAACAGGGAAAGGGGUUGAUAAUUAAAGAAGUCGACACCAGAGAGCUGUGUGUGUGAGCCCCCUAGCGCGAGCCCCCACACCAUCAGUGGUGAACCUGACGUGAAUCGAACACGCAACCAGAGAAGAGGAGAAAAUGGUCGGAAGGAGCGAGUAUCGUGUGGGAGAGAGCUCGGGACACCGAAGGGGGAAGGAACAACGCGUGGAGGAGACCUCCCCAACCACCCCUAGGGAGGAGUACCUGAGAGAGUCAGAGGACUCAGACAGGACUGAGCCAUAUCGCUCGCAUAGGAAGCAGACCGCGAUCUGGGCACUCGAAGCCCAGGAGGCGGCCUGGCGUAAAAAGAAGGCCGAAAAGGACGAAGCGACCCGGCGCGAAGGGAGGGCCGGGGUCGAGGAGGCAGCCGCCCGGAAAGAGAAGGAGAAACAUCGGCGGGGAAGGCGGAGCAGGUCCCUGACCCCUACCCGAAGAAGAGAACGCCGCAGGAGGAAGGACUCCGAAAAUGCGAGGCUCUCAGCGAUGGUCUCCGCGCUGCAGGACAGCCAACUGCGGCUGCAGGAGAAACUCCGCCAGCUGAUCGCAGACCGGCAGACGCUGAAGUUUGACGGAGCGGGAGGCGGAGCAGCAAUCGGAGAACCCGGAAAUGGAGUAGUCGUACCAGUAACCGGGGCCAGAGGCGGAGAAGCUUUGGCGCAGCACCUGCUGGAGGGUGAAUACCCCGCGGGCUGGCGGACGCCCAAGAUCCCCGCGUACAAGGGGGACACCGACCUGGAUGACCACUUGCACUCGUUCAAAACUAAUAUGGAGGAUAGAGCGGGUCGGAAGGACAUAUGGUGCCAGAUGUUCCGAAGGGCACUAACGGGGGACGCGAUAGCGUGGUACAGAACUCUCCCCGUUGGAUCGGUCCACACUUUCGAAGACCUUGACAAAACGUUCCUAGAGGCUUUCGCCCACAAGCGAAAGAGGCCCAAGAACCAAGCGUGCCUCAGCGCCACGAUACAGGGGGAUUUCGAAAGCACGUGGGCGUACAUGGAUUGGUUCGCGGGCUAACAGAAAACGUGAUCCAGUACGCCUCAGGCCUACCUUCUUUGCGGUGGACCUCGUACGGAUACUACCAAAGACAUUCACAGAGGCCAUGGAGAGGUCCCACGGGGAAGCCAAUGUGGAGGAAUACUUGGGAGAGAGAACGCAGGAGUUCAACAAACGCCAACAAAAGCCCAAGGGACCCCCAGCCGGAGACGGAGGGCACCAGCAGCAACAACCGAAGGCCCCGGAACACCGGGAGCAGCGGCAUGCAAGGCCCCAGCGGCCAUUGGUGGGGGCCAUCGAGAUGUGGGACUGACCCCGGCUGCUAACCAGAGGCAGGUUUUCCUCACCUUAGGAGGGGUGGGGAACCUCCCCCCAGCGAGGCCCAUGAGGAAGGACUCAGCAAGAUACAGGGACGAGAGCAGAUUCUGCGAGUACCACUAAGACAAGGGUCAUACAACUGACGAGUGUCUGAACCUGGCCAAGGUAUUAGGCAAACUCAACGCCGCGCGCAAAGCCCCCCCCCAGCCCCGCCUGUCAGGAGGGCGGCGGUCAUCCUGACCGGGCAUCGAGUGCCAAAGCAGGAGCCGGUCGAGGAACUAGUAGGGGAUAUCUUGACAAUAGCGAGAGGAGGCGCGGACCCAUGGGAGGGGCAUCGGUACGCCACUGACGUCGACCGAACAACCGAAGGGAAGUGCCCACGCCUGGAGGCAUAGAUCACGUUCACAGAGGCGGACAUGAAAGACGUCACGACCCCCCACGAUGACCCCGUGGUAGUAACCACCGUCUUCCGAAGGGGGGACAAGACCAAAGUACAAUUACACAGGGUCCUGGUGGAUACGGGGGCUUCGGUGGACAUCCUGUACUGAAACACCUUCAAUGACCUAGGCCUCGCCCGCACGGACCUACUCCCAAGUAGAGUGCCGAUUAGGGGAUUCGGGCAGUCAGAGGUUCCGAUGGCCGGCGUAAUAACAAUCUCGGUAACGCUAGGACGCCACGCCCAAGAGAAGACGGUGGAAGUCAGCUUUACGGUGGUGAAUUUCACCUCGGGCUACAAUGCCAUCCUGGGAAAAUCAGCGUUGCACGCAUUACAGGCGGUGAUGUCGUCCCUCCACCAGUGCUUAAAAUUCCCAACCAAGUCGGGCAUGUGCACGGUGAGGGGGUCCCAGAAGAAGGCCCGCGAAUGCUACUUUAACUCGGUAGGGGAGAUGAUGACCUCGAACGAGGGGUUGCCGCACGCUUUACGAGAGGAGCCCCCGAAGCCGGAGCUGGCGUCAACCACGGUGCUUCUACCCCUCGCCCGGAGCGAGGUACGCGUGGGAAAAGGCCUCCCAGGGGAGUUGGAGAGGAGCCUGGAGACCCUCCUCAGGAGGCAUGAAGACUUAUUCACGGCCGAAUUAGGAGAACUGGGGGGGGGUAAGCCGGACGACAGCAGAUCACAAGCUCGCGGUCGCCGCGGAGACGUGGCCGGUCCGACAAAAGCUACGACCACUAAGGGCGGAGAAAAGAGACGCGGCCGAAGCCGAGGUCACGAAACUCCUUGACGCGGGUUUCAUCCGGCCGGUGCGAUACCCGCAGUGGAUGUCCAAUGUCGUGAUGGUCAGGAAGGCGGACGGACGUUGGCGCAUGUGCGUCAACUUCACGAACCUCAACAAGGCGUGCCCCAAAGAUAGCUACCCGCUACCGUCGGUCGACAAUCUAGUGGACCUGAACUCAGGCUGCGAAAUGCUGAGCUUCAUGGAUGCGCAUUCGAGGUACAACCAGGUCCCUAUGGCCUGGGCGAACGAGGAGAAGACCUCGUUCAUCACUGACCUGGACACAUUCUGCUUCAAAGUCAUGCCGUUCGGCCUAAGGAACGCGGGAGCCACCUUCCAAAGACUAAUGGAUAAAGUCUUCGAGGAACAGAUCGGCAGGAACGUAGAAGUGUACGUCAACGACAUCCUGGUCCGGUCAAAAAGGGAAGAGACACACCUGGCCGACCUGGAAGAGACGUUCUGCAACAUCAGGAAGGCUGGCCUGAAGCUAAAAGCAAAGAAGUGUGCGUUCGGAGUAAACAAAGGCCACUUCCUGGGUUUCAGGAUCACUCCGGAGGGCAUCAAGCCCAGAGAGGAGAAAGUAGAGGCCGUCAUGGGAAUGACCCCGCCACGGACCAUAAAGGAGGUCCAAAAGUUGAACGGUAGGGUGGCAGCCCUCAGCCGAUUCCUACCGAGAGCUGCCGACCGGCUGCGCCCGUUUUUUCAGCUACUGAAGUCACCCGGCCCGAGAGUGGUGUGGUCCGUCGACUGCGAGGUGGCAUUCGGAGAGCUAAAAAGACAACUGGCGCACUUGCCAACGCUCCGCCCGCCCAUCAAAAGCGAGCCACUCACAAUGUAUGUCGCCUACUCGGACGCAGCUGUCAGCGCGGUACUCCUGACAAAGGCGGACAGAGUACAAAGGCCGGUGUAUUAUUACUCCCGGUCGCUGCAAGGAGCAGAGGAAAGGUACCCGGAUAUCGAGAAGCUUGCCCUAGCGGUGGUCUCGGCGGUCCGAAAGCUGAAUCCGUACUUCCAUGCACACACGGUAACCAUCCCAACGGCAUACCCACUGCUUCUGCUCCUUCAGAAAUCAUACGUCUUCGGACGCCUCACGAAGUGGGCCAUGGAACUCAGCGAGUUCCACAUAGAGAUCGUCCUAGCCAAGGCAAUCAAAGGACAGGUCGUAGCUGAUAUUAUGGCCGACCUAACACCCUGGAGGCGGACCCCAACGGGGGAGAAAUGGUGGACGGUCCACGUCGAAGGCUCGGCCAGCAACACAGGCUGUGGAGCCGGAGUAGUGAUAAGGGCCCCAACAGGGGAGAGGAUCGAGUAUUCGAUACACUUCGGCUUCCGGGCGACCAACAACGCAGCCGAGUACGAGGCCUUCUUAGCCGAAAUAAGGUUGGCCGCAGCCUUCGGGGCAGAAAAAGUCCACCUCCACACGGACUCCCGAUUGGUGGCAAACCAAGUAAGGGGCGAAUUCAUGUCCAAAGAGGAUUCAAUGUCGACCUACGUGGCGGAGGCCCGAACAGACCUAGGUCGACUCGACGAAUGGAGAAUCACCCAGAUUGAGAGAGAGAGCAACGGGGAGGCGGACACGUUGGCCAAGAUAGGGGCGUCCCCAGGAAGGCCAUAGGGCAGAUGGGUUCGGAUCGAAAACCAGGAACACCCGACGAGGUCCGGAGGACCCGGCGGGCCGACCUGCGCCUUAAUAGCCGCAGGUGACUGGAGGACGCCCAUCCUGAGAUUCCUCGAGUCAGGAGAAAGCCCGACGGAUCCGAUGGAGGCCAGGAAGCUGAGAAACUGGGCGGCGUGGUUCGUGGCUGCCCGAGGCAAGUUGUACCGCCGCUCAACCGCAGAGGAGGCCCCGCUAAGACUAUGUGUCGUCCGCGAGGACGGUCGCGCCAUCGCACGGAGCAUCCACGAGGGAGCCAACGGGGCCCAUCAGGGCGGCCGGGUCUUAGAGAAGCAAAUAGCCAGACAAGGCUAUUACUGGCCCGAGUCAAUAAAGGACUCUGAGGCGGUGGUAAGCAGAUGCGACAUGUGCCAGCGGCAUUCGAACGUCCAGAGACGGUCGUCCAUCAUGAUGAAGGCAGUAACCACACCCGUCUCCUUCGCACGGUGGGGCAUUGACAUCGCGGGGUCCUUCCCCCCGGCCUCACGGGGAAGAAAGUUCCUCUUCGUGGCAGUGGACUACUUCACAAAAUGGGCAGAGGCGGAGGCCACAAGCGUUAUCACGGAGCAGAACGUGGUCAAUUUCGUUUUUAGAAGCAGAGUGUGCCGCUUCGGGGUCCCCAUCCAGAUAAUAACGGACAACGGGAAGAAAGCUACGGGAGUUCUGCGAGGACAGCGGGAUUAAGCUGAGCUUCGCCCCGGUUUACCACCUGUAGGCAAACGGACAAGUGGAAGUAACCAACCGUACCAUCGUGUCCAUCCUGAAGAGGAAGGUGGCGAGUACUCAGGGACAUGGGCGGACAAGAUCCCAGAAACCAUGUGGGACUACCGAACAACAAUCUGGACGCCGACGAGACAGACCCCUUUCGCCCUCGCCUUCGGAUUAGAGGCAGUGGCUCCCGUAGAGUUGAAUGGCCAACGGCCAGGAUAGAGCAAUUCCAACCAGGCGCAAAUGACAAGGCGAUGGUCCUAACGAGCGAAGACGUCGAGGAGCGAAGGGAGGAGGCCGUCGUCCGGGAUUUCGCAUAUAAACGAAGAGUGGCCAGAUACCACAACGAAAGAGUGGCAGAAAAAAACCUGGCAUUGGGGACCGGGGACCUAGUCCUGUGGAAUGCCAAGGUGACGAAAAGUAGACAGUGUUGUAUCUUUCCAUUUUCCCGAAUUUAUUCAAAGUAACCAAAAAUGUGACGAAAUCUGGCUGAGAAGUACUCACUCCCAAUGAAUACUAAAACUGGGGCACAACUCCGCGAGGCACCCGGGGGCCGCGUCAAAGAAGACCCCCCCCCCAGGCGCCACACGAAAAAAUGAGAGACGGAGGGGCCCGCUGUCAAAGGCAGACCGAGCGCACCGAAGGCCAAUAGGCCACUGAAGGACGCUCAGCCGGCCCAGGCCGCCCGACAAAAUGAACGAUAAGAAAGAAGCGGAAGCAAUAUAUACAAAAAAUAAAAUGUCUUGUUUUAUAGAAAAAAAGAAGGGAGGAAACACAAAAGAAAAAGAAGCGACAGUCAAGACGGCAGAGUAGACAGGAUAUAGUCCGGGAGGUCAGUCACCAAGUCCUCCUCAUCGCUCUCACCAACAUUAAGCGAAGGCUGCACGACAGGAGACCCGGCCCCAUCCACCGCGCUCCAUCAUUCCCACUCCAGCGAGGUCCGGGGGAUGACACGAGCAGCCAGAUCGGGGCAGGCAAGUUUGCACAUAGCGCGACAAUGCUCAUAGCCUUUCCAAAACCCGGCGCGCUUCUCGACCGACAUCCGAAGCGAAGAAUCUUCCUGGAAUUCAGAAAACUUAGCUUGGAACUUGGCGGACAUAGAAGCAAGCGACUCGGGGCGGUCGGCGGACAGCUUGUUAGCGCGCUCGGUCUCCCGGGCAAGUCCGGCCUAGGUCUCGGCAGCUCGACGCUCGGCCCACUCCCACUGAGACUUAAAGUGAUCAACCAUUUUUUGUCUCUCGGAGGACUCCAGCUCCAACGCGGUCUUCUCAGUGGACGCGGCCUCCAGCUCCAACCGGUAGGCCUCCGCAUCCUUCGACGCUUCCUUCACGGCCUGGUCGCGGGCGGCUAAUGCAUCAAGACGCUCCUCGGUCAAGCGAGCAACCUGGGCGACGAGUCGGCUAAACUCCUCACACUGGUCAAGGCUCCGUUGAUGGCGCACGUAAGCAAGGACAGUACCACGCAGACUGUCAACGUAGAGAUCCCGAUCGAACGAUAUCAUGUCGAACGCGAAAAGAUCCACGUACUCCGGCUCCUCCUGAAGGAAGGGUUGAAGAAGGUUGAGACUUUUGAGGACCAUCCCGGCCAUUUGGGGAACGGAGGACAAGGGAUGGACGUGCGCAGGUUCGGCGGAAAAUUUGCCCGCAACAAGAGCGGCAUCGAAGGCCACGGAGAAGGCCUGGCGGUCCAACACCUGCGCGUCUUCCGUGUCGAUCUUGCGGCGGAGCCCAGACCCUUCGACCACCUCCUUCUUGCACCGCUCUGAGCGCGCAUUACGGAGAGACCCCUUGCACAAGUUGUCAUCCCCAGAGUUGGCAGUGCUUGGGCCUCGAGAGGGAGUAUCCUCCAGAUGAAUAAUAGAGGACGGUGCCUUGCAUUUCUUGGUCCGGAGAGAAGAAGAAGCCCCACCGUCAGGACUACGAGCGUCAUCAGGCCUCAGAUGCCCCGACACAGACCAAUCAUGUUUGAAGCCGCUGGGGCUCACGGGGCCGCGGUUAUGAAUCCGGACGAGCAGGUCAUUCGCCUCCCGCUCGGUAGGGGUCAAGCGUUUCUGAGGGACAACGCCGGUGAGGCUCUUCAGGGUAUCAAGCGGCAGCCACCGAGAGGGGGGAUGACGAGAUCCCCGAGGUAGGAGAUGUCCACAAAAAAGAAUUGAUCGCGCCAAGAAUGAGCCCGGUCCGGCAGGGUCACAAAAAGAGUGCGCCGAGAGGCAAUGAGGACGCGGUUUUGGUCGGUGUUCGGGGGUAAACGUGGAACCAGUUGAAAAACAGGGACACGGUGGGUUCAAUGCCACACUUCUAGCAAAGGAGCUCGAAAUUUAGUAUACGCUCGACAGUCCCCGAGGGAAACUACGAGAGCGAGACCUGGCAGUGUUUGAGAAUCGCCUAAAACAGCGGCGAAAGAGGCAGUGUAAGGUCAAUGUCCACAUAGGGGAUAUAGAUAACAACUUGCCCAAGAGGCGGAUGCGAGGCGACAGUCUCCCCAGCCUGCCGGAAGUCAGGCUGACCUUUGUACUGAUACAUCUUCUUCAAGGCGACUAGACAAGCAGACGGUGAAGCCUUUGAGAGUGGGUUCUUCACAUCUGGGAGCGGGUUGAAGACGCCGUGAAGGAGCUCUUCGACGGUGGCAUUGGCAAGUUCGACCGAAUCAGCCAAGGCAGACCUGCGGAAAAGUGGAGGGUUUUUCUCGAGGUUUUAGUGGGAAGCAGAAAGCGGAGCAAAUGAGGAAAGUGAAGAAGAGAAAAGGGGGGGAAUAACACUUAUAGUAAGAAGGGCACAGAAGACGAAGAGUCGCAAGUACCUAGUAGCCACAGAGGCUGAGGGCCCAGAAAGACGGCCCAGUAAGGUACGGCCGGGGCGAGAGCCCAAUACGUCCGAAAAGAGAGCGUAUGACGAAACGCGACAUGAGCGACGGGGCCCUGGGGUCACAUCCGAUGGACAUCCGGGCCACUCGAGGUACGGUGCAACCGGGCUCGAAGGGUAGGCAGGGUCGUCCGACGAGGGAGCAGUAGAACGAAGCAACGGCGAGUGGGGGCGAGCACGAGGGAGAUUCCCCCAGGGCGACACCUCAACAGGGCCGACAGUAGGCCGGGGCGGGGGGGUUGGCCGGGGGAGGGCUGCGGAGCCGUAUCCACCCCACCCAGGGGCCGAAGGGUGUCGAGAGCUCGCUGAAAAGGGUCAGCCGACGAGCGAAGCUCGAGUAGGACGCGGGCCAGGUCGGCGGAGGACGAUGAGGGUAAAGCAACGGCAAGAGCUGAAGCACGAAAGAAAAUCACAUUCAAGAUUCCGAAGGAACUGCAAGUACCAAAAAAAGUAUUAAGUGUCAAGUUCUAUUACAAACCCGGAGGCGCUACUAAGUUACAGCAAAAGCCACAAGAAAGAUGCCCUAUGCUACAAAAAAAAACUAAACGUGCACUAAAGAAGGAAUACGCCGGAGUAAGUCGGGGGAACCACACGACCUCCCUUCAGACAAGCGCCUGAGGGGGUAGAGGAGGAGGUAACCCCAGACGGCGCACCUGUGAGGGUCAACAGACCCAGUGACCGGGCGAAAGAAGCCCCAGCACCCGGUGCAUACGGAGACCUAAUAGCCAGUCUUAGGCGGUCCCGACAAGAAGUGUCGCAAGUCAGUAGCAGGGAGGGACGAGGACCCACGUGAGCCACGACGACCGCGGGAGCGGUGACGAAGACCACCUCCGACACCCGGAGCGACAGUAGCCGCACCGUGCAAAGAGCAGCAGAAGCUCGAGAUCACGACACCAGCAGCGGCAACAACAGCAGAAGCAGCUGGCAUACCAGAAGAGGAAGGAGCAAGACGGCGGUGAAUGUCAAUCAGGACAGAAUUAAGCCGAUGGCUCUCCGACACUGCAACAGAGUGGAAGGCCCCAGCAAGCAAAAGCAGGCACUCAGUCCAAACAGAGUGUUGAAGCUUCACCUCGCGACCGAACUCCUCCAGAAGGUCUUGGACGGCCAUUGAAUUUUUUCUGUUUUAUGAAGAAAGAAGAGGAGAAGGAAGAAUCUUUAUAGAGAAAACACGUGAAGGGGGAUGGCGCAGAACACGAGAUGUUAUAAAGGAAGUUAGGUGGGCGGCCUGUUGGCCCCCCGGCCCGAGAGGGGGGGAGUACUGUUGGUACCAGGACCCGCCCAGACGGACCUCGGACCGAACAGGCCUGCCAGGCCCAAUGAGGUAGGCUAUAAAUAUUUCCCCAAGUGCAACGGGGAAAGGUGUUGAUAAUUAGAGAAGUCGACAUCAGAAAGUUGUGUAUGUGAGCCCCUAACGUGAGCCCACACACCAUCACAACGGUUAACCUAACUCCGCCCCUCUUCUUCAUACCCCACUGCUGCCGUCAUCUCCGGUGCUAAAGGUGAAGAGAAAUUAACUCCGGUUAAUAUGACCUUAAACUAAUUUGAAGAGGAAUAUUGAAUUAAUAUUAUUAUAGACUAAUUAUACUUAUUCUACUUAUGAUUCUAGAAUAACGUCAAUAAUGUGCAAUUUAUCAUUCGAUCAAUUACCGGCCGUCGUCGUUGAAUUAUGAUUACGGCAUAUCCGGUCGGCCGGCAAUGGUCAUAUUUAGUAGAAGGGAAGGAAGCAAGAACACAAAUCCUAACCGUAAUCAUAACUCGCCGUCGUCGUGAACCACAAUUCCCGUGUUUUCUGAGUGGACGAGCGGCCUAAAUAAACCUGCUUUAUCUCAUUGUUUCUAAUUUUGGAAACGGGUUGGAGACAAAAUUGAUGGUGGCCCACAAAUUUUUUUUAUUCAUGAUUCAGUAAUUGGUCGGGACAGAUCACAGAUCUACAUUAAUAGUCGAAUG